AACGCACCUUGCGCCCCUUGGCAUUCCGAGGGGCACACCCGUUUGAGUGUCGUGAAAUUCUCAAAAGCCCUUCCUUGGUGGAGAGGAUUUUGGACUUGGAGGUCAUUUGCUGGUUUCACCUUGAAGCGAGCUCCUCCCAAAUGGAUUAGUGGGGUCUGCUUUGCCGAUCCUUGACGCGAUAAUAUGUUUCUACGUCUCGGGUUUCUGCACUGUACCUCUGCUUCUAACCGUCUCAUUGACAACGAUGGUGUUCCGGUCACCGCCGAUUCAUCGGUGGGAGGCUCGACCCACAAAAACGACCUUGACCUCAAAUCGGGUGGGACUACCCGCUGAACUUAA
This 339-nucleotide ribosomal RNA is filed under the name uncultured fungus. RNAcentral's name for it is "eukaryotic LSU rRNA". Lineage: Eukaryota; Fungi. The record is from RNAcentral.